This 72-nucleotide transfer RNA is filed under the name Talaromyces marneffei ATCC 18224. Its description in RNAcentral is "tRNA-Pro (TGG) (tRNA-Pro-TGG-2-1)". It matches the Rfam family "tRNA". Rfam says of the family: Transfer RNA (tRNA) molecules are approximately 80 nucleotides in length. Their secondary structure includes four short double-helical elements and three loops (D, anti-codon, and T loops). Lineage: Eukaryota; Fungi; Ascomycota; Eurotiomycetes; Eurotiales; Trichocomaceae. The record is from RNAcentral.
GCCCGAAUGGUCUAAUGGUAUGAUUCGCGCUUUGGGUGCGUGAGGUUCUGGGUUCGAUUCCCAGUUCGGGCC